AUGAAGUGGCAUCUUGUAUAUUUCGUCCCAUGCUUCAUGCACUCAUUAUGGUGGCUUCAGAGUCCUGGAAUCAUCACUUGUAACUCCGUUCUUGUUCUCCUUGCGCAUGCCAUCAUCUUCAUGCUUGAACUUGCUCUAAGGUUCAUCUUUCUUGUCCAAGCUAGGCCCUUCAUUUGUAAGCAAAACAAAUGUAUCCAAUUUAGGCAGCAUCAUAUUCUCAUGAACAUUAGAAUCGUUACCAAGAAACGGAAGUACCUGAUAAUUCAAUUGGCGUGCGCGAGCUCUAGUAAUCGGUCUAGUGUGUAUAGCAGCAGGGGCUGUGGGUGUAACAAUGGUAUUGAUGUCCUCAUCAUCCUUCCCUUUUUGAAAUGA
This 372-nucleotide ribosomal RNA is filed under the name Triticum aestivum (bread wheat). RNAcentral describes it as "partial small subunit ribosomal RNA". The record is from RNAcentral. Lineage: Eukaryota; Viridiplantae; Streptophyta; Magnoliopsida; Poales; Poaceae.